UACGUAGGGAGCAAGCGUUGUCCGGAAUCAUUGGGCGUAAAGCGCGCGUAGGCGGCCCUGUAAGUCCGCUGUGAAAGUCAAAGGCUCAACCUUUGAAAGCCGGUGGAUACUGCAGGGCUAGAGUCCGGAAGAGGCGAGUGGAAUUCCUGGUGUAGCGGUGAAAUGCGCAGAUAUCAGGAGGAACACCGAUGGCGAAGGCAGGUCUCUGGGCUGUAACUGACGCUGAGGAGCGAAAGCAUGGGGAGCGAACAGG
RNAcentral lists this ribosomal RNA (253 nucleotides) under uncultured bacterium. RNAcentral describes it as "partial 16S ribosomal RNA". It matches the Rfam family "Bacterial small subunit ribosomal RNA", at positions 524 to 776 of the family's 1533-position model. The record is from RNAcentral.